Molecule: ribosomal RNA, 495 nt
Filed under: uncultured bacterium
Lineage: Bacteria
Description: partial 16S ribosomal RNA
Rfam family: Bacterial small subunit ribosomal RNA
Source: RNAcentral
AUGAACGCUGGCGGCGUGCCUAAUACAUGCAAGUCGAGCGAACGGACGAGAAGCUUGCUUCUCUGAUGUUAGCGGCGGACGGGUGAGUAACACGUGGAUAACCUACCUAUAAGACUGGGAUAACUUCGGGAAACCGGAGCUAAUACCGGAUAAUAUUUUGAACCGCAUGGUUCAAAAUUGAAAGCCGGUCUUGCUGUCACUUAUAGAUGGAUCCGCGCUGCAUUAGCUAGUUGGUAAGGUAACGGCUUACCAAGGCAACGAUGCAUAGCCGACCUGAGAGGGUGAUCGGCCACACUGGAACUGAGACACGGUCCAGACUCCUACGGGAGGCAGCAGUAGGGAAUCUUCCGCAAUGGGCGAAAGCCUGACGGAGCAACGCCGCGUGAGUGAUGAAGGUCUUCGGAUCGUAAAACUCUGUUAUUAGGGAAGAACAUAUGUGUAAGUAACUGUGCACAUCUUGACGGUACCUAAUCAGAAAGCCACGGCUAACUACGU